Molecule: ribosomal RNA, 859 nt
Filed under: uncultured Alphaproteobacteria bacterium
Lineage: Bacteria; Pseudomonadati; Pseudomonadota; Alphaproteobacteria
Description: bacterial SSU rRNA
Rfam family: Bacterial small subunit ribosomal RNA
Source: RNAcentral
AGAGUUUGAUCCUGGCUCAGAACGUACGCUGGCGGCACGCCUAACACAUGCAAGUCGAACGCAGUAGCAAUACUGAGUGGCAGACGGGUGAGUAACAUGUGGGAAUCUGCCUUGUGGUUCAGGACAACAUUGGGAAACCGAUGCUAAUACUGGAUAAGCCCUUACGGGGAAAGUUUUAAUGCCAUAAGAUGAGCCCGCAUUUGAUUAGUUAGUUGGUGAGGUAAUGGCUCACCAAGACAAUGAUCAAUAGCUGAUCUGAGAGGAUGAUCAGCCACACUGGGACUGAGACACGGCCCAGACUCCUACGGGAGGCAGCAGUGGGGAAUCUUGCACAAUGGAGGAAACUCUGAUGCAGCGAUGCCGCGUGAGUGAAGAAGGCCUUUGGGUUGUAAAGCUCUUUUGUAGGGGAAGAUAAUGACUGUACCCUAAGAAUAAGGUCCGGCUAACUUCGUGCCAGCAGCCGCGGUAAUACGAAGGGACCUAGCGUAGUUCGGAAUUACUGGGCGUAAAGCGCGCGUAGGCCGUUGAGUUAGUUAAUUGUGAAAUCCCAAAGCUUAACUUUGGAACUGCAAUUAAAACUGCUCGACUAGAGUUUGAUAGAGGAAAGCGGAAUACAUAGUGUAGAGGUGAAAUUCGUAGAUAUUAUGUAGAACACCAGUUGCGAAGGCGGCUUUCUGGAUCAACACUGACGCUGAGGCGCGAAAGUAUGGGUAGCAGAGAGGAUUAGAUACCCUCGUAGUCCAUACCAUAAACGAUGAUUGCUAGAUGUUGGAAAUUUAUUUUCAGUAUCGCAGCUAACGCAUUAAGCAAUCCGCCUGGGGAGUACGACCGCAAGGUUAAAACUCAAAGGAAUUGACGG